This 497-nucleotide ribosomal RNA is filed under the name uncultured bacterium. RNAcentral's name for it is "partial 16S ribosomal RNA". It matches the Rfam family "Bacterial small subunit ribosomal RNA", at positions 28 to 507 of the family's 1533-position model. The record is from RNAcentral.
GAUGAACGCUGGCGGCGUGCCUAAUACAUGCAAGUCGAGCGAACGGACGAGAAGCUUGCUUCUCUGAUGUUGGCGGCGGACGGGUGAGUAACACGUGGAUAACCUACCUAUAAGACUGGGAUAACUUCGGGAAGCCGGAGCUAAUACCGGAUAAUAUUUUGAACCGCAUGGUUCAAAAGUGAAAGACGGUCUUGCUGUCACUUAUAGAUGGAUCCGCGCUGCAUUAGCUAGUUGGUAAGGUAACGGCUUACCAAGGCAACGAUGCAUAGCCGACCUGAGAGGGUGAUCGGCCACACUGGAACUGAGACACGGUCCAGACUCCUACGGGAGGCAGCAGUAGGGAAUCUUCCGCAAUGGGCGAAAGCUUGACGGAGCAACGCCGCGUGAGUGAUGAAGGUCUUCGGAUCGUAAAACUCUGUUAUUAGGGAAGAACAUAUGUGUAAGUAACUGUGCACAUCUUGACGGUACCUAAUCAGAAAGCCACGGCUAACUACGUG